GACGAACGCUGGCGGCGUGCCUAAUACAUGCAAGUAGAACGCACAGUUUAUACCGUAGCUUGCUACACCAUAGACUGUGAGUUGCGAACGGGUGAGUAACGCGUAGGUAACCUGCCUGGUAGCGGGGGAUAACUAUUGGAAACGAUAGCUAAUACCGCAUAAUAUUAAUUAUUGCAUGAUAAUUAAUUGAAAGGUGCAAUUGCACCACUACCAGAUGGACCUGCGUUGUAUUAGCUAGUAGGUGAGGUAACGGCUCACCUAGGCGACGAUACAUAGCCGACCUGAGAGGGUGAUCGGCCACACUGGGACUGAGACACGGCCCAGACUCCUACGGGAGGCAGCAGUAGGGAAUCUUCGGCAAGGGACGAAAGUCUGACCGAGCAACGCCGCGGGAGUGAAGAAGGUUUUCGGAUCGUAAAGCUCUGUUGUAAGAGAAGAACGGGUGUGAGAGUGGAAAGUUCACACUGUGACGGUAUCUUACCAGAAAGGGACGGCUAACUACGUG
Molecule: ribosomal RNA, 505 nt
Filed under: uncultured bacterium
Lineage: Bacteria
Description: partial 16S ribosomal RNA
Rfam family: Bacterial small subunit ribosomal RNA
Source: RNAcentral